ACUCCUACGGGAGGCAGCAGUGGGGAAUAUUGCACAAUGGGCGCAAGCCUGAUGCAGCCAUGCCGCGUGUAUGAAGAAGGCCUUCGGGUUGUAAAGUACUUUCAGCAGUGAGGAAGGUGGGUAUGUUAAUAGCAUAUUCAUUUGACGUUAGCUGCAGAAGAAGCACCGGCUAACUCCGUGCCAGCAGCCGCGGUAAUACGGAGGGUGCGAGCGUUAAUCGGAAUUACUGGGCGUAAAGCGCAUGCAGGUGGUUUGUUAAGUCAGAUGUGAAAGCCCGGGGCUCAACCUCGGAAUUGCAUUUGAAACUGGCAAACUAGAGUACUGUAGAGGGGGGUAGAAUUUCAGGUGUAGCGGUGAAAUGCGUAGAGAUCUGAAGGAAUACCGGUGGCGAAAGGCGGCCCCCUGGACAGAUACUGACACUCAGAUGCGAAAGCUGGGGAGCAAACAGGAUUAGAUCCCCUGGUAGGCUCUGC
This 473-nucleotide ribosomal RNA is filed under the name uncultured bacterium. RNAcentral describes it as "bacterial SSU rRNA". It matches the Rfam family "Bacterial small subunit ribosomal RNA", at positions 335 to 800 of the family's 1533-position model. The record is from RNAcentral.